Molecule: ribosomal RNA, 506 nt
Filed under: uncultured bacterium
Lineage: Bacteria
Description: partial 16S ribosomal RNA
Rfam family: Bacterial small subunit ribosomal RNA
Source: RNAcentral
AGUGAACGCUGGCGGUAGGCCUAACACAUGCAAGUCGAACGGCAGCACAGAGGAGCUUGCUCCUUGGGUGGCGAGUGGCGGACGGGUGAGGAAUACAUCGGAAUCUACUCUGUCGUGGGGGAUAACGUAGGGAAACUUACGCUAAUACCGCAUACGACCUACGGGUGAAAGCAGGGGACCUUCGGGCCUUGCGCGAUUGAAUGAGCCGAUGUCGGAUUAGCUAGUUGGCGGGGUAAAGGCCCACCAAGGCGACGAUCCGUAGCUGGUCUGAGAGGAUGAUCAGCCACACUGGAACGGGGACACCGUCCAGACUCCUACGGGAGGCAGCAGUGGGGCAUAUUGGACAAUGGGCGCAAGCCUGAUCCAGCCAUACCGCGUGGGUGAAGAAGGCCUUCGGGUUGUAAAGCCCUUUUGUUGGGAAAGAAAUCCAGCUGGCUAAUACCCGGUUGGGAUGACGGUACCCAAAGAAUAAGCACCGGCUAACUUCGUGCCAGCCGCCGCUGUAA